This 322-nucleotide ribosomal RNA is filed under the name uncultured eukaryote. Its description in RNAcentral is "partial 18S ribosomal RNA". It matches the Rfam family "Eukaryotic small subunit ribosomal RNA", at positions 1470 to 1796 of the family's 1831-position model. The record is from RNAcentral.
CCCUUAGAUGUUCUGGGCCGCACGCGUGCUACACUGAGUGGAUCAGCGGGUCAGGUUGCGCGAAAGCGUUUCCUAAUCUUUAAAUCCGCUCGUGAUGGGGAUUGACGGUUGCAAUUUUCUGUCAUGAACGAGGAAUACCUUGUAAGCGCGCGUCAUCAUCCCGCGCUGAAUACGUCCCUGCCCUUUGUACACACCGCCCGUCGCUCCUACCGAUUGAGUGGUCCGGUGAGGCUUUGGGAUCUGAGCGGAAAGAGCGUUUCGCUGUUUCUGCUCGGAAAACUCAGUCGAACCUUAUCAUUUAGAGGAAGGAGAAGUCGUAACA